Molecule: ribosomal RNA, 253 nt
Filed under: uncultured bacterium
Lineage: Bacteria
Description: partial 16S ribosomal RNA
Rfam family: Bacterial small subunit ribosomal RNA
Source: RNAcentral
UACAGAGGGUGCGAGCGUUGUUCGGAAUUAUUGGGCGUAAAGGGCGCGUAGGCGGUGCGGUAAGUCACCUGUGAAAUCUCCUGGCUCAACUGGGAGCUUGCAGGCGGAACUGCCGUGCUGGAGUGUGGGAGAGGUGCGUGGAAUUCCUGGUGUAGCGGUGAAAUGCGUAGAUAUCAGGAGGAACACCUGUGGCGAAAGCGGCGCACUGGACCACAACUGACGCUGAGGCGCGAAAGCUAGGGGAGCAAACAGG